GUUCUUUUAAGCUAGAGACAUAGUGUUACUUAUUCUUAUUUAAUAUUAAUAUAUCAUAAAAUAAAAUAAAAACUAAAAUAUUCCUGCAAAUAUUCCCAUCUAAAAAAAUAACUCAUUACUCAAACCCAUUUUCUUUGCACCCAAACACUCCCCAGAAAACCUCUUCAAUUUUCUCAGGAAAAUCUCAUCAUGUCAUGGCAAGUGUACGUCGAUGUUCGUAACUGUUUCAAGGAGGGUUAUGCACCACUUAAUUUUUACGUCAAAGAGGAUUUUGAUUGUGCUUCUACUCGCGGCACCGGAAGCGCUAAAACCAUUUCUAAUUAUGAACUGGUCUUGAUGGCACAAAGUAGAGCCAAGAGCAGAGGAUUUUCAGAUGUGUUAUACCUUGAUUCAGUCAAUAAGAAAAAUUUGGAGGAAAUCUCUUCUUGUAACAUUUUUAUUGCUAUGGGAAAAAUAAUUUCAACACCUGUUAUCGAUGGAACCAUACUUUCUGACAUCACUAGAAAAAGUGUCAUUGAACUUGCCAGUGAUCUUGGCUAUCUGGGGGAUGAGCAUGUUGUUGCUGUGGACGAAUUGAUUGAGGCUGAUGAAGUUUUUUGUACAGGAACUGUUGUUGGUUUUGCUCUUGUAGGGAGUAUCACAUAUCAGAAUAGAAGAUUUCAUGUCUUAGGGCAUAACAGACUCAAUUAAGUAAGCAGGAAUAUCUUACUUCAAAGGAGGAAGUUGACACUCAAGAAGGUCGUGCGAGACAGCUUGAGGAAGAGAUUAGAGAUUUAAGACAAAAACACAAGCAAGAGUUGCACGAGGCAUUGAUGCAUAUGGAGCUUAUUCAGCAGGAAAUAGAAAAAGAAAAGGUUGCUCGAUCAUAUAUGGAGAGGGUUGGUUGUGUUCAUUAUGUGCCAUCAUCAUAUCAAAGUCCCACAACAAAGCAUAAAUCUGCUUUUGAGAAUGGUGUGAUGCUUUGCUUCUUUUUAUUUUUACAUCACUUGGUUCAGUUAUCUUGUCUAUGAUAUUUUCGAUAAUAUACUUUAUGAUGUAUGGAAUUUGUCCCGUAAAAUCUCCUGUGCAAGCUCCCUUGGAAGAAUGGAAGAAAGCUAUUUUCUUCAAGCAUCACUGGAUUCAUCUGACAGUUUUUCUGAACGGAGAAACCCAGGAGAACUAAGCAUGAGUCCUUACUAUAUGAAGAGCAUUACACUCAGUUCUUUUGAGGCUGCGUUUCGUCAGGAGGGUGAGCUUGCUUCAUAUAUGUCGCGCUUGGUAUGAUUUGUUGCUUUCAUUUUCUGUCAUCAUACCUUCCAUGGAUAUCUCUUUGGAUCCGCAAUUGAAACUACAACAACAGUGAUCUUGUCCCAGCACUGCCAAUAUGCACUGCAAACUAGAGAGCUCAAGCAAGUUAUUUAAGGUCUAGCAUAAAGCCAACUUAUUGUUUUGAUUGGAUUUGGAUCCCAUAUUCUAUUAUUUACUUUCUACAUUCAUAACCAAAACUUUUUGGAGUAUUUUAUUAAAUAUUUUGUUUAACAAGAUGAUUACUCUUUCUUUAUGAAA
This is an RNA transcript of Cicer arietinum (chickpea), 1545 nucleotides long. It is a transcript of the gene named branched-chain amino acid aminotransferase 1, mitochondrial-like, with no coding region annotated. The record is from RefSeq and is a predicted model, not a curated record. NCBI's taxonomy places the organism in Eukaryota, Viridiplantae, Streptophyta, Magnoliopsida, Fabales, Fabaceae.